AUGAGUUGCCUCAGCUGGAACUGCCGGGGACUAGCCAACGCCCCGACAGUUCAAGAGCUACGAGAAAUCGUUUUAAAGUUUUCCCCUAGAGUACUUUGUAUUGUUGAAACACAGAUUGGCCAAGUUAGAGAUGAAAAUCUAUCAAGUACUUUAGGUUUUGAUUCAUCAUUUUUUGUUGGUUCCACCGGUAGAAGUGGUGGUUUA
Molecule: ribosomal RNA, 204 nt
Filed under: Triticum aestivum (bread wheat)
Lineage: Eukaryota; Viridiplantae; Streptophyta; Magnoliopsida; Poales; Poaceae
Description: partial small subunit ribosomal RNA
Source: RNAcentral